Deltaproteobacteria bacterium is the source of this 37-nucleotide non-coding RNA. Lineage: Bacteria; Pseudomonadati; Myxococcota; Myxococcia. The record is from Rfam.
GUUUUCCGGGGCGAAUUCGCCCCGGCCUCAUUGAAGC